UUCCAACCUACAGGCGGCCAGGGUUCCCUGCAGCGGCCAGGGGUUCCCUACAGGCAGCUGGGGGUUCCCUACAGGUAGCCGGGGGUUCCCUGCAGUGACCGGGGGUUCCUCACAGGCGGCCAGGGGUUCCCUGCAUGGCCAGGGGUUCCCUACAGGUGGCUGGCGCUUCCCUGCAGGCAUGGCCACCGGCCCUGGGGUGGCCCUCGUGCAUGCUUGUGGCCCCAUUUCCUUUGUAUUCAUGCUUGGCUAUAUGGGAGAUGCAUCGAAAAUAGCUUUAUUUGAAAUACAAGAUGAGGCUUGAACUCUGGUUGGCAAAGAGAGAGGAAGCCUGUUACAAGAGGCGGUUCACAAGCCGUCAUGUGCUUUACGAGUGCCCUUGACCUCACGUAGGCACAAGUAGUCAUUUUAGCAUUAACAGACAUCAUAUAUUUUUAGAAUUUACUUGCAGCAUUUAUAUUUUGAAGUAUACAUGAAAUUUCCUAUUUUAUCAUUCAAUCCCAGGUCAGACAAGAAGGGUAGCUUUAACUGGCUUUUUUAAUAAGAUCACAUUAUCAAGCGAUUGUGCGAAUCCGAUGUUUUAAUGAUUAGCGGGUGGGUGAAAAGUCUGGGUAUGAAAAUAAUUCUCAGUGCUUGCUGCUGGUUGGAAGAAACCAGACCCAGGACUGGCAGGUCUGAGCAGGGGCGCGAGGGCCUCCCCAACGGGGCUCCCGGCCGCCCACAGCCGCUCUGUGGAUUGUUACUUGACGAGGUUUCCUAAAACAGUACUGGUCUGAAGUCCAUGGCCGGUUUUAGAGAAACAGUCCAGGCCGGAGUCCACAGUUCACGUUCACCGAGAAAGCGAGCCACACGGUUCCUGGAGGGCUGACCUUGUGCCGACAUCACAGGCCUUGGGACGGUUCUUAGGGUGCGUGUGGUUGUGUGAACACCCCCCAGCACUCCUUGAUAAUCUCUACACGGGAUGGAAGUACUUUCCAGACAUUCCCAUGUGGGCAGGGGGUUCUGAUCUCCUGAAGGCCCCAGAUGGAGCCCCAACAUGUGCACGUCAGAACUGACAGCUGGUUAGUGAGGACUUAGGAUCAUCUAGGAUUAGUCUAGGCUUUAACUUCCUGUGUGACUCAUGGGUGCAAAAAACCGUGGUGGUAGUUAUGCCCUGACCCGUUUCCCGCUUGUUCUGACUACCAAGGAGGAACCUCGGAAGCUGCACCUGCUCGGCGGGCAGGCUCGACUUUGUUCCUUGCACAAUCUUGUGUUAACGGGGCAGGACCAAUGGAAGAGGUGGCUUCAUUUUCUUUUAAUCUUGCGGGUUUCGAGAUUAGAAAAUGGCAUAUUUGCUCUGACACGUUUGAGAAGACAGAAAUAAAGUUACGUUGGGCAGAAUUUUUUCUUCUUUUAUAAAUUCGUGUUAUUUUCAAAGCAGAGCAUGUUUUGUGAAAACACCUAUGUACAAUUUAAAGAGCAAGAAUAAAAUGAACGAUGGUGUACCUACCGGCCA
This is a long non-coding RNA of Acinonyx jubatus (cheetah), 1492 nucleotides long. RefSeq lists it as uncharacterized. The record is from RefSeq and is a predicted model, not a curated record. The transcript is spliced from 2 exons. NCBI's taxonomy places the organism in Eukaryota, Metazoa, Chordata, Mammalia, Carnivora, Felidae.